This 497-nucleotide ribosomal RNA is filed under the name uncultured bacterium. RNAcentral's name for it is "partial 16S ribosomal RNA". It matches the Rfam family "Bacterial small subunit ribosomal RNA", at positions 28 to 507 of the family's 1533-position model. The record is from RNAcentral.
GAUGAACGCUGGCGGCGUGCCUAAUACAUGCAAGUCGAGCGAACGGACGAGAAGCUUGCUUCUCUGAUGUUAGCGGCGGACGGGUGAGUAACACGUGGAUAACCUACCUAUAAGACUGGGAUAACUUCGGGAAACCGGAGCUAAUACCGGAUAAUAUUUUGAACCGCAUGGUUCAAAAGUGAAAGACGGUCUUGCUGUCACUUAUAGAUGGAUCCGCGCUGCAUUAGCUAGUUGGUAAGGUAACGGCUUACCGAGGCAACGAUGCAUAGCCGACCUGAGAGGGUGAUCAGCCACACUGGAACUGAGACACGGUCCAGACUCCUACGGGAGGCAGCAGUAGGGAAUCUUCCGCAAUGGGCGAAAGCCUGACGGAGCAACGCCGCGUGAGUGAUGAAGGUCUUCGGAUCGUAAAACUCUGUUAUUAGGGAAGAACAUAUGUGUAAGUAACUGUGCACAUCUUGACGGUACCUAAUCAGAAAGCCACGGCUAACUACGUG